ACUUGUGUUGGAUCUCAACACAAGUACUUGUGUGAAAAUUAUUCUACACAAGUUAUGUGUUGUUUUGCAUUGCAUUAACACAAACUUGUGUUCUUUUUAAUGCAUUAACACAAAUCUUGUGUUUUUUCCAUAUAAUUAACACAAGUAAUGUGUACCGUCAACAAAUAUUUUUUUUUUUAAAUUUGAACUCCAUACAAAGUCUUAAUCCGGGGGUCCACAAGUAAGAGAAAGGUAUUUUUUACUCAGACAAUAUAGCCAGACAGACUUGAAUGCUAAUUGGUGUUAAGAUGUCUGUAGUUGAAAUAAAGUUGGGCCCAAUAAACUGGUAGAUCAAAGGCCUGUUGAGCGCUCAUGCCCGGUGUGAUUUUAACAAUUGACUCCAAAUGCGUUGACAAGAAAAUAAGUAAAACUGUUAUUGAAUGUGAUUGGUUGAUAAAAUCAACGUACUAUAGGCUACAUUUUGUCUGCGAUAUCAUCUCGGUGGAAGCGGACAUUAAAUGAAGUGAUUCCACACAAUUAAUCUUGUGUUUUUUCCAUAUAAUUAACACAAGUAAUGUGUACCGUCAACAAAUAUUUUUUUUUUAAAAUUUGAACUCCAUACAAAGUCUUAAUCCGGGGGUCCACAAGUAAGAGAAAGGUAUUUUUUACUCAGACAAUAUAGCCAGACAGACUUGAAUGCUAAUUGGUGUUAAGAUGUCUGUAGUUAAAAUAAAGUUGGGCCCAAUAAACUGGUAGAUCAAAGGCCUGUUGAGCGCUCAUGCCCGGUGUGAUUUUAACAAUUGACUCCAAAUGCGUUGACAAGAAAAUAAGUAAAACUGUUAUUGAAUGUGAUUGGUUGAUAAAAUCAACGUACUAUAGGCUACAUUUUGUCUGCGAUAUCAUCUUGGUGGAAGCGGACAUUAAAUGAAGUGAUUUCACACAAUUAAUUUAACAUUUAACAACGUGCUGAAAUGAUUUUGGAGCAGUGAUAUGUUUGACAAAUGUAAGCUAAUGGUCACAUAGAAUACAAGACCGCAGACGGAAGAUAUGGACGAACAACAAGAAGAAGUUAUGGAGGUCCCAACAACUGAACCUAUGGAAGUAGAAGAAUCGUUUACAGCCGAAACCCGAUACGAUGUGCCAGUUCCGGUCAUGGAGUCCUCCAUCUCAGACGAUGCCGACGAUAGUGUCUUCUGCGACGAAGAACCCGUAGUGGUGUAUACGCAGGUAGAAGCUGGUACCUCCCGUGGCAAGUCCAAGUUGUUUGACAACCAAGGGUUUAGUUAUACAAUUAAGACAGAGAAGAAAACUACGAUUUGGAGGUGUUCCAAAAGAAGCGGACCAACACGAUGUCCGGCAGCAGUAAUCCAAGAUGGUGAUACAUACCAACCAGGCUUAAAGAACCAUCUUCACCCAGCAGAACCCGGUAUACACACGGCUACCAAGAUAAAAGUUACAGCAAAGCAUGAAGCCAAAGGAAAUGUUUUUACCAAGUCAUGUUCCUCAAUAGCGGAGAGAGUUUUAUCCAGUGUCGGUUCUGCAGAAGAACCCAUUCAUAGCAGACCACCCAUGGCAGCACUUGUAAGGUCUUCUAUUAAUGUGUUUUCCAAUCGCUAAAUGCCACUUAAAGAUUAUGUACAACGUCAAUAUGGGGAUGUGGCAGUUAAGUGUGUUCGUCAGAUCAGUAAACUUGAAGAUAAAUAUAUAAGAGUGAGUAAUAAUUUAACUUUUCUCAUGAGAUGCAGAGACGGUGACAUUGUGCCACAAGGGU
Long non-coding RNA from Patella vulgata (common limpet), 1750 nucleotides. RefSeq lists it as uncharacterized. The transcript is spliced from 4 exons. The record is from RefSeq and is a predicted model, not a curated record. Lineage: Eukaryota; Metazoa; Mollusca; Gastropoda; Patellidae.